AGGAGCACUGUGGACAGCAGAUCACCUGCAGGGUUUCAGCUAUGGGAAGAGGAGGGUGUGCAUUCAAGGCUCCCUUGGGAAACCUUGGUAUCAGAAGAGAAGCAGGACUUAGACAAAUUUCUGGAGAAAAAUAUAUUUGAGGGGCUUGUCAAGGAGAAGAGUCUGAAAGAAAAGGAAUAUGGACAGACAGAAGGAGCAGAAUCAAGAGGCCACGGCAAGGACUGUACAGACGACACGGCUCCCUUGCCUGCUUGCUUGGAGACAAGCACAUCUCUGCCUGCCCUGUGGAAGUCAGCCGGGAAAUCCAACUCACGUUCCAUAUUUAACCCUGUCUGCGCAAACUCCCUGCAUGGUGGGAAAGGGACGAGUUCACCUGUGAUCACGCGUGGGUAACUGCAGGUCUGCUGUUUCGAGGAGUGAGGGAAGGUUUUUCUGACAUGACAGGCUCACCUGCAGGCCACACCGAAGAGCCACACAGAGCCCUGAAGAUGCUGCCUCUGCCCAAAGGGCCCUGCGCUUGCCUUGACUGGGGCCACCUCCAUGCCGGCACUGUGCACCUGGGGGCCGGAGCAGCUUCCUGUCCCUCUGACACCCAGCUGGAGAGAGGUAGCUGCUGAAGAGCCCACAGAGUAGUGGGUGAGCAAGGACGCUGUCCCCUGGAGGAGCUUGAGUGCACCGGGCGAGGGCCUCAUCUGUCCCUGUGUCCCGUCAUUCCCAGGGAAUCUGACAGCCGGAGAGAAGCUGCCAUCUCUUUGCCUGGCCCUGGUGUCAUCCUUGUGAGAGAUAGUUUCUUCUCCCAGCGGUGAGUCAAUGCACCCUCAUUUCAUAGGCACAGAGACCCAGCCGGGAGGGGAAGGCACCCCGGGCGGUGGGGAUGGUGUUGACGGUGGGGAUGGUGUUGACGAGCGCCCCCUGGUGACCUCAACCCUGUCAGACAUCGCCUGAGCU
Molecule: long non-coding RNA, 948 nt
Organism: Chinchilla lanigera (long-tailed chinchilla)
Lineage: Eukaryota; Metazoa; Chordata; Mammalia; Rodentia; Chinchillidae
Exons: 3
Source: RefSeq, a predicted model, not a curated record